AGGCCAGGAUAGCGGCUCACGGGCCUUAAUAGGCCUGAGGAAACACCGCCCUCCCAGUGGCAGCUAGGCCUCAGGCUGAGGUGAUACCUCAGGCAACGGCACAGAAACGACACGGCCUCCAUUGUAUGAUUAUGAUACAGAAAGAUCUAUCCAGCAAUGGAUAGAUAGUAAUCUGUUGAAGACAAUGGAGGAUGCGUUGAAACGGCCGACCCUAGCGGAGCAAGGGUGAGGGCGAUGAGGAGCCACGCGAGCUCUCUAAUUUCCGCAGAGUCGAAUGCCGCAAUACAGAAGGCGGGUUAUUAUCCUGGCCU
This 311-nucleotide RNase P RNA is filed under the name Caldisphaera lagunensis DSM 15908. RNAcentral's name for it is "Archaeal RNase P". It matches the Rfam family "Archaeal RNase P". Rfam says of the family: Ribonuclease P (RNase P) is a ubiquitous endoribonuclease, found in archaea, bacteria and eukarya as well as chloroplasts and mitochondria. Its best characterised activity is the generation of mature 5'-ends of tRNAs by cleaving the 5'-leader elements of precursor-tRNAs. Lineage: Archaea; Thermoproteati; Thermoproteota; Thermoprotei; Acidilobales; Acidilobaceae. The record is from Rfam by way of RNAcentral.